RNAcentral lists this ribosomal RNA (473 nucleotides) under uncultured Planctomycetota bacterium. RNAcentral describes it as "bacterial SSU rRNA". It matches the Rfam family "Bacterial small subunit ribosomal RNA", at positions 365 to 828 of the family's 1533-position model. Lineage: Bacteria; Pseudomonadati; Planctomycetota. The record is from RNAcentral.
UUCGCAAUGCCCGAAAGGGUGACGAAGCGACGCCGCGUGGGUGAGGAAGGCCUUCGGGUUGUAAAGCCCUGUCAGGAGUUAAGAAAUAUAAGUGCGCUAAUACCGCAUUUAUUUGACGAAGGCUCCAAAGGAAGUCACGGCUAACUCUGUGCCAGCAGCCGCGGUAAUACAGAGGUGGCAAGCGUUGUUCGGAAUUAUUGGGCGUAAAGAGCACGUAGGUGGGUUUGUAAGUCAGAUGUGAAAGCCUCCUGUUCAACGGGAGAAUUGCAUCUGAAACUACAGAUCUUGAGUGUAGGAGGGGAGAAUGGAACUUCUGGUGGAGCGGUGAAAUGCGUAGAUAUCAGAAGGAACGCCGGCGGCGAAAGCGAUUCUCUGGCCUAUUACUGACACUCAGUGUGCGAAAGCUAGGGGAGCAAACGGGAUUAGAUACCCCGGUAGUCCUAGCCGUAAACGAUGGGCACUAAGUAGAGGGA